AGAAUCGCAGCGCCGUGAGGGCUCGGCGCAAAUCCAUCUUACUCUCAAUAGCUAAGUGACAUGAAAGCCAUAAAAGAAAAAGUGGUCAGCAAUAUUUAGCAGCACGACUUGGCCCCGGGCGCAGAGAGCCACGCUAUAAAAAGCCGCUGGAAUUUACUGGCAGCUACAAAUAUUUGCUUAACUUGUGCCUGGAGUUGGGGGGUUUUCCGGGGAGUGAGGAGGAGAGUGAAAGGUCCUUGGAAGCCGGGUCUCGGGAGCUGGAGUUCAAAAGGAGAAAGGCCUGAUGGACUAGAAAGGAACAGGGUCGGGAUCCUUCUUUUCCAGGGAAGAAGAAACGGGGUGUCUCUUCGUCACGGCUCCUUGGAUUUCUCCCCUCUGGGGAUCAUGGGCAAGGGGCGAGGGGGUAGAGGUGAGAUUGGGUCACCAAUUUUUCCUCCAAUUCUCUCUUUAGAACUGAUACUUGCCAAAAGAAUCAUGAUGUGUGGUGACUUCCCAUCCAGGCCCUUCUUGGACCGUCCAGCACCCUAGAGAGGCAGGUCCCAGCAGGUCACUCCCAGCUCUUUUCCCUUGCUACAGAAGGUCCCCAGACCUUCCUGCCUUGGACUUUCCGAGGUGCUGUUAUUCAGGGCAACUAUCAAAUUCUACCUGUUAAAACAUGAUGGAUUAGAGAAAAAAAAAUCCACCAAGAACCUGAAAAACCAGCGUUCAUCUCCAUGACCACGGCUUGAACUCCCCUUCCAACUUAACGAUAAUAGAUUCUGUCCUAGAAACUGCUAUGUAAUUUGAUGUAUGGGGGUCAUUUAACUCCGGACGAGGGAUGGAAGCACAAGCCAUAAAAUGCCACCAGGGUUCCCUGAUCUUUGUGUGCUGUUGUUGUUAAUAUUCCUUGGCCUUUUUACCUGCUUUAGAAACACCAAGUAAAGGGCAAACCUGGAAAUCUAAAAAGCAAUUGAAAGCCUUCUCGACCCCUUUUUAUUUAGGAAGUGGACUACAAAAGUGAAAUCUAUGUUUUAUUUUUGUUCUCACCUUUUCUUGGUUAACCUCUGGUUCUCAGCUCAGAAAACUUCCAUGUGAGUUCAUAUAGUUCCCUCCAAAUCAGAAUUUUAGUCUCCCUGGCCAUUUAAGAAAAUCACAAAUUUUCUUUAUGACAAAUUCAUGAAGAAAAUUGUUUACACUUCUAUGUUUCAACUAUGUGUAUUUGAGUCCUGGAGUUAUUCAAGUCUUCCAGGAAUAGCAGACACUUUGUUAACCAAAAAAAUUAAUGUAAUAAGCAUCUACCAGUAGAUGAUUAUAAUUUUGUUUUUAAUAAUGGACUCCUUUAUAUUUCAUUAUUAAACCAACAAUCUGCCCAACAUCUGGAAAACAGGCACAAUUAAUUUUCCAGAACCUCAAUUAAAAAUUACAGCAACCCUUAUCCAGAGUUAUUGUAUGUGAUCUUGAGCCCUGGAGUAUUGUUUCUCUUUUGGAAAUAGAUAGGAAGCUACAGAUACCAUGGUUAAAAGUAAAUAAAUGAUAAAAUAAAAUUUAAAACAGAAUAGCAA
Vicugna pacos (alpaca) is the source of this 1541-nucleotide non-coding RNA. Lineage: Eukaryota; Metazoa; Chordata; Mammalia; Artiodactyla; Camelidae. The record is from RefSeq and is a predicted model, not a curated record.